CCGAUGCUCCUCCUUCGCCACGCUCCUCUUCAUCAAUCGUUUGAUUUCAAUUCUCUUCAUCAACCCCCACCCUCUUCGCUACCGACGCUCCUCCUCCUCCUCCUCAUUCGUCACGCUCCUCUUCAUCGCAAGGUUUGCCACUCUCAAGGAGCCAAUCAGAUUCAGCAAGGACGAGUCCUAUUGGUGAUCCAAUAGAGGACAAAGUGAUAGUGUCUGAGUUGAGAAAUGCUUCAAAUAGAAGAUCAAAUGGAACACCCAUAGACCAGGAAAUGUCAAAAGAAGUGGAGUCCAAGCAUAAUCCUCCCAGUGUGGUCGCCAAGUUGAUGGGGCUUGAUACCCUUCCACGGCAACAGUCUGAUUCUGCUGCGCAAAGAAGUCAUUCAAGAAACUAUGCACGAAGUCAUUCAGGUAUUCCUUUGGCUAAUU
This is a non-coding RNA of Camellia sinensis, 426 nucleotides long. NCBI's taxonomy places the organism in Eukaryota, Viridiplantae, Streptophyta, Magnoliopsida, Ericales, Theaceae. The record is from RefSeq and is a predicted model, not a curated record.